UUAAAACUCAGAACCAAGGGGGCAGAGUUUACGAUCGCUUCACAGCAUGGAGACAACAGACUUGUGAAAAGACGGCUAGAGGUGACAGAUGAAGGCAAUUAAAACUGUUUUUCAACACUUACCGAGGACGCAGACCUAAAGGUGUGAUCAUCUCUCAAGAUUUGGAAAGGAUUUCUGCAGGAGAACCUUUUGGAAACACAAAUAAAUCUAACAAUUUAGACCA
Rhinichthys klamathensis goyatoka is the source of this 223-nucleotide long non-coding RNA. RefSeq lists it as uncharacterized. The transcript is spliced from 2 exons. Lineage: Eukaryota; Metazoa; Chordata; Actinopteri; Cypriniformes; Leuciscidae. The record is from RefSeq and is a predicted model, not a curated record.